Phaseolus vulgaris (common bean) is the source of this 80-nucleotide non-coding RNA. The record is from Rfam. Lineage: Eukaryota; Viridiplantae; Streptophyta; Magnoliopsida; Fabales; Fabaceae.
UGAAUCUUUCGAAAUGUUGAGUACUCAAACUACGAUUUGAGUGCGAUGAAUACUUUUCAUUGAAUAGGAAGAUCUGAUGC